Molecule: long non-coding RNA, 1882 nt
Organism: Sapajus apella (tufted capuchin)
Lineage: Eukaryota; Metazoa; Chordata; Mammalia; Primates; Cebidae
Exons: 2
Source: RefSeq, a predicted model, not a curated record
UAAGGUUGAAGUUUAUGUUUGUUGAUUUGAAACAUAAAUAUAGCGGAGGAAUUCUGUUUUGGAUGCUUGAUCUCUCCUCUGCUCCAAUGUUGAUUUGUUUCAUUGAACAAAAUGAUCUCUCAGGGAAUCUUCUAUGCAGGAGAGUAUUUUGACAAGGUUUAUCAAAGUCUUGAGAGAAUGUUUAAAUAAUAGUAAAAUGAAUAGCUCAUGUUUUUUUCUAUUUUAGUCUUGCUGGUGGAUGCCCUCCUUACUCCCCAAUAUAUACAUCAUGGAUAGAUUGUUGGUGCAUGCUACAAAAAGAGGGGAAUAUGAGCCGAGGAAAUAGCUUGUUUUUCCGGAAGGUCCCCUUUGGGAAGACUUAUUGUUGUGACCUGAAAAUGUUAAUUUGAAGAUGUGGGGCAGGGACAGUGACAUUUCUAUAGUCCCAGAUGCACAGAAUUAUGGGAGAGAAUGCUGAUUUCUAUACAGUGUGGCGCGCUUUUUUAAUAAUCAUUUAAUCUUGGGAAAAUGGAGGUGUUUGGUGUCUGCCUUUUUUGUUCUUUUUUCCAGCACACAUAACUUACCACUGAUACUCCCCUUUUAGUUAUUCUGAAAUGGGAUAUUUUUGCUCCAGAUUCUUAUUUUACUUAACCAGAAGGGGAAAAAAAGCUGUAUUUUCCUGAAGGUAUAGACACUUUGUCAUGUGAUUUUUGAGUCUCAAUUUAAGACUUUGUAAAAUGAAGAGUAGAAUUCCAAGAAGAAUAAGAAAUAAUUCUUUAAAACUUAACAAAAACACUAAGUUAAACUAUAUGGGAGGUUAUGAAUGACCUUUUCUUGGGUAGACCCUAGAAAGUCAGUAGCAUGCACCAGAAUCUGCCUCCUGUUGUGCUUCUAAGCACACUUCAUUGACCUUGUCUCUCAUACUUCAAGAAAAGGACAUAUGUUGCUAUGUUGCCCUAGAAAGUCUGUGUGAGGAUCUGCCCCAGUAAUAAAAUGUCACCGACAGGGAGCCUCUGAGCCUACCCUAGCUGAAGAGGCUGCCUGAAAAAAAAAUAAGAUAAAGGUCAGCAACAACAAGGAAAAGGACAAUUACAGAAAAUAAGCAAGAUUUGGAAAGGAAGUAUAAUGGCACUUUUUUCCCCAAAGGAAAUUCUUGUUUUCACAUAAAAUACGAAAAGCAGAUACUGAAGGAGUAGCCCUCUUCUCUAAGAGCCAAGUAUUUGCCAGUCCUUAAAUUAUACCAUAUGGUUCUAAUUGUAUAUAAUCUUAAUGUUCUUCCGUUUUUUGUUUUGUUUCCUUUUUGUUGUUAUUGCCGAAGGUGAGUACUUUUGCAUUUCUGAUGACCACCAUGUUGGAAAGUAGAUUUGUAACUCCAUGUCUGGUAACGCCAACCCAAGUCCACAUGAGUCUUAGGACACUGACUGCCUCACAUGCCAUACCCUCAGUUAAGCAUGUUAACAUUUAUAGGAGAAAAAACCACUUUAGGAGGAAAUAAAUUCAACUCAAGCAUAAAGCUUCUAUUUACUCAGGCCUUUUAAAAAGCAGGUUAAAAUGCUCUAAAACGAGAAAGCCUGUGGUUUCACUUACUUAAUAACUCACCGGGACAUUGCCAAAUGAGUAAGCACUUAAUUUGGUGCUUCUGAGACUUCUCUGUCAAAACAGCAGCACUGAUAAUAUUAGACAGAAUGAGAAUGCAGGGGUCUUUUCCCUCUCCUGGGGUUUAGGAAGCUCAUGAGGAGCUCAGCUUAAAAUGUCUUUGAUGUCUCUUCCUUUGUUUCAAAAGUAAUGUCAAUUUUAUAUACUAUUCAAUAUUACUAUCUGCAUUUGUUUUAAUAUAAAAAUGUUUGCUGCCUAUUUUUUUCUCCCAAAAAAUCUUUAAGUAAAUAUGAUCUGGGAAAAUGUG